AGCGAACGCUGGCGGCAGGCUUAACACAUGCAAGUCGAACGGGCGUAGCAAUACGUCAGUGGCAGACGGGUGAGUAACGCGUGGGAACGUACCUUUUGGUUCGGAACAACACAGGGAAACUUGUGCUAAUACCGGAUAAGCCCUUACGGGGAAAGAUUUAUCGCCGAAAGAUCGGCCCGCGUCUGAUUAGCUAGUUGGUGAGGUAACGGCUCACCAAGGCGACGAUCAGUAGCUGGUCUGAGAGGAUGAUCAGCCACAUUGGGACUGAGACACGGCCCAAACUCCUACGGGAGGCAGCAGUGGGGAAUCUUGCGCAAUGGGCGAAAGCCUGACGCAGCCAUGCCGCGUGAAUGAUGAAGGUCUUAGGAUUGUAAAGUUCUUUAGCCUGUGACGAUGAUGACGGUAACAGGAGAAUAAGCCCCGGCUAACUUCGUG
RNAcentral lists this ribosomal RNA (435 nucleotides) under uncultured bacterium. RNAcentral's name for it is "bacterial SSU rRNA". It matches the Rfam family "Bacterial small subunit ribosomal RNA", at positions 29 to 507 of the family's 1533-position model. The record is from RNAcentral.